Long non-coding RNA from Nerophis lumbriciformis (worm pipefish), 184 nucleotides. RefSeq lists it as uncharacterized. The record is from RefSeq and is a predicted model, not a curated record. NCBI's taxonomy places the organism in Eukaryota, Metazoa, Chordata, Actinopteri, Syngnathiformes, Syngnathidae.
GUCAGAAUGAGAAGCAGACAAGUCGUGUACGUUCUAACAAGCCUUGGUAAAGCAUCUCGCCGCUGGAUCGUCAUCGCUUGUGCAGGAAAUCAGCGUUAAGGAAACAACGGAGGGUGAAAAAGGCUCAUUGGGGAGACGGUGAAGUCGCGGAACAACACAACUCAACUGCAACCUGAAGGCCAAG